Molecule: ribosomal RNA, 492 nt
Filed under: uncultured bacterium
Lineage: Bacteria
Description: partial 16S ribosomal RNA
Rfam family: Bacterial small subunit ribosomal RNA
Source: RNAcentral
AGUGAACGCUGGCGGUAGACCUAACACAUGCAAGUCGAACGGCAGCACAGUAAGAGCUUGCUCUUACGGGUGGCGAGUGGCGGACGGGUGAGGAAUACAUCGGAAUCUACUUUUUCGUGGGGGAUAACGUAGGGAAACUUACGCUAAUACCGCAUACGACCUACGGGUGAAAGCAGGGGAUCUUCGGACCUUGCGCGAUUGAAUGAGCCGAUGGCGGAUUAGCUAGUUGGCGGGGUAAAGGCCCACCAAGGCGACGAUCCGUAGCUGGUCUGAGAGGAUGAUCAGCCACACUGGAACUGAGACACGGUCCAGACUCCUACGGGAGGCAGCAGUGGGGAAUAUUGGACAAUGGGCGCAAGCCUGAUCCAGCCAUACCGCGUGGGUGAAGAAGGCCUUCGGGUUGUAAAGCCCUUUUGUUGGGAAAGAAAAGCAGCAGGUUAAUACCCCGCUGUUCUGACGGUACCCAAAGAAUAAGCACCGGCUAACUUCGUG